CGCGCGCCCUGCCAGCCCGCCGGGCCACGCCCCUCCGCGCAGGCUCCCGGAAGGGAGGGGUUUAGUCCUGGGGUGACAGCGGCCGCCUCCCGGUACCCUGAGGGGAGCUCCAGAAGGCGGUAAUUGCAUUACUGUGAGGCAGCGACCCGGCGGCUCCAGUUCAGGCGGCAAUCUGGGUCAGAUUCUAGCUACAUCAGAAACUGGUCAUUUUCUAAAACUAAAGGAGAAAACUAGGAAGGGGUGAUGAAUUCUUUCUGAGUUUCGAGUUACAAAAUAAAACGUAAGUAUUGAUGAUUUCA
This 299-nucleotide long non-coding RNA is filed under the name Bos mutus (wild yak). RNAcentral's name for it is "lncRNA (ENSBMUG00000009927.1)". The record is from RNAcentral. Lineage: Eukaryota; Metazoa; Chordata; Mammalia; Artiodactyla; Bovidae.